Molecule: long non-coding RNA, 228 nt
Filed under: Mytilus galloprovincialis (Mediterranean mussel)
Lineage: Eukaryota; Metazoa; Mollusca; Bivalvia; Mytilida; Mytilidae
Source: RNAcentral
GUGGUUUUAACAAUCCAGACAGACAAAUAGCAAUAAGGUGUUUAGGAAAACAUGACCUAAAACCUCCUUCAUAUAAGACAAAAAACAUGGGAACUCAUACUGAAUGGUCAAAUGUGUUCAAUAUGAAAAUUUGAGUUAAGAUGGUAAAAUCACAAAUCAGCCGUUAAUGUAAAUGGACUAUAAGUAUGACUUUUGAGCAAAUUUAAAGGGAAAUGACGGGGAAGGGGC